UAGGGAAUCUUCGGCAAUGGACGAAAGUCUGACCGAGCAACGCCGCGUGAGUGAAGAAGGUUUUCGGAUCGUAAAACUCUGUUGUUAGAGAAGAACAAGGACGUUAGUAACUGAACGUCCCCUGACGGUAUCUAACCAGAAAGCCACGGCUAACUACUUGCCAGCAGCCGCGGUAAUACGUAGGUGGCAAGCGCUGUCCGAAUUUAUUGUGCGUAAAGCGAGCGCAGGCGGUUUCUUAAGUCUGAUGUGAAAGCCCCCGGCUCAACCGGGGAGGGUCAUUGGAAACUGGGAGACUUGAGUGCAGAAGAGGAGAGUGGAAUUCCAUGUGUAGCGGUGAAAUGCGUAGAUAUAUGGAGGAACACCAGUGGCGAAGGCGGCUCUCUGGUCUGUAACUGACGCUGAGGCUCGAAAGCGUGGGGAGCAAACAGG
RNAcentral lists this ribosomal RNA (429 nucleotides) under Gemmatimonadota bacterium. Its description in RNAcentral is "Gemmatimonadetes bacterium partial 16S ribosomal RNA". It matches the Rfam family "Bacterial small subunit ribosomal RNA", at positions 355 to 776 of the family's 1533-position model. The record is from RNAcentral. Lineage: Bacteria; Pseudomonadati; Gemmatimonadota.